GGUAUCCUGGCUCAGGAUGAACGCUGGCGGCAUGCCUAAUACAUGCAAGUCGAACGAGAGACCUUCGGGGUCUCUAGUGGCGAACGGGUGAGUAACACGUAGGGAACCUGCCCGUGCACCGGGAAUACGCUCUGGAAACGGAGAACAAAUCCCGAUGUACAGGAAGGAGGCAUCUUCUUUCUGUGAAACAUCCUUUAGGGGGAUGGGGCGCGGAUGGACCUGCGAUGCAUUAGUUGGUUGGCGGGGUAAAGGCCCACCAAGACGAUGAUGCAUAGCCGGCCUGAGAGGGCGGACGGCCACAUUGGGACUGAGACACGGCCCAGACUCCUGCGGGAGGCAGCAGUAGGGAAUUUUCGUCAAUGGGCGCAAGCCUGAACGAGCGAUGCCGCGUGAGUGAAGAAGGCCUUCGGGUCGUAAAGCUCUGUUGCGGGGGAAAAAAGGCAGCAUCAGGAAAUGGGCGCUGACUGAUGGUGCCCCGCCAGAAAGUCACGGCUAACUACGUG
This 503-nucleotide ribosomal RNA is filed under the name uncultured Allobaculum sp. RNAcentral's name for it is "bacterial SSU rRNA". It matches the Rfam family "Bacterial small subunit ribosomal RNA", at positions 13 to 507 of the family's 1533-position model. The record is from RNAcentral. Lineage: Bacteria; Bacillati; Bacillota; Erysipelotrichia; Erysipelotrichales; Erysipelotrichaceae.